UCCCACCUCCUUCUUCAAACUGAUGUCUUUUAGUAGGAAUUAUGAAGACAGCUCAUCUGUAACGAGAUAAUAAAGAUCAGUGGAGUAAUGGCCCAGCAAAUUUCAAAGAAGCAUUUGAAGAGAAAGCAAAGUGACCACAAGAGGGUCACAAGUAUUCAGUUGAUGUCCUAUGACGCCUCGGUAGUGCCGUGUAUCUGAAGCUGUUUGCUUGCCACCGAAGAAAGAUUUAUGUCUUCAGCCAUGCAAAGUGAAAUAGCUGCAUUGUGGAGAAGAAGGCAAAUGUUUGCUUGUUCAAGUUUGGCUCUUAUUCA
Molecule: long non-coding RNA, 311 nt
Filed under: Struthio camelus australis
Lineage: Eukaryota; Metazoa; Chordata; Aves; Struthioniformes; Struthionidae
Description: lncRNA (ENSSCUG00000016493.1)
Source: RNAcentral